UACGUAGGGUGCAAGCGUUGUCCGGAAUUAUUGGGCGUAAAGAGCUCGUAGGCGGUUUGUUGCGUCGGCUGUGAAAUCCCGAGGCUCAACCUCGGGUCUGCAGUCGAUACGAGCAAACUAGAGUGUUGCAGGGGAGACUGGAAUUCCUGGUGUAGCGGUGAAAUGCGCAGAUAUCAGGAAGAACACCUAUGGCGAAAGCAGCUCUCUGGGACGGUACUGACGCUGAGACGCGAAAGCGUGGGGAGCGAACAGG
This 253-nucleotide ribosomal RNA is filed under the name uncultured bacterium. RNAcentral describes it as "partial 16S ribosomal RNA". It matches the Rfam family "Bacterial small subunit ribosomal RNA", at positions 524 to 776 of the family's 1533-position model. The record is from RNAcentral.